UUCCCAGAUUUCUUUAUUAUUCUCUUUUGUUUAUAGAACUUUCUUUGGCCGUUCCUUUAGGGUUUCUGGAAAAAAUUCUUUUAGUUUGCCUUUGUCUGGAUAUCCUCUCCAUUUCUCUCUUUCUCCCUUUCUUACUUUCUUGCUUGCUUGCUGGUUUUUGUUUUUUAGGGCUGUACAUGAAGCAUAUGGAAGUUUCCAGGCUAGGGGUUGAAUCAGAGCUACAGCUGCUGGCCUAUGUCAUAGCCACAGCAAUAUGGGAUCGAGGCCACCUCUGAGAUCUACACCACAGCUCACAGCAAUGCUAGAUCCUCAACCCACUGAGCAAGGCCUAGGGUCAAACCUGAAUCCUCAUGGAUAUUAGUCAGAUUUGUUGCUGCUGCGCCACAAUGGGAACUCCCUCCUCUACAUUUCUGAAGAAUAUGGACACUGGAUAUAAGAUACCUAGCUGACAGUCUUCUUUUAGCACUUGAGAAAUACUGUGCCACUUCCUCUAAGCUUCCACAGUUUCUAGUAAGAAAACCACUGUCAUUCAAAUUAUUAUGUUUCUGUAUAUAAGGUAUCAUUUCUCUCUUGAUGUUUGCAAAUGUUUUCUUUGGAUAUAGCUUUCAAAAGUUUGACUAUAGUGUGUUUCAUUUUGGUGUUUGGGGGUUUCUUGCUGAACUCAAUUUCUUGAAUUUGUAAAUGUAUGUCUUCUGCCAAAUUUGGGAACUUUUUUUUUCAGCCAUUAUUCUUCAACUAUUUUUUCAUUCCUGCCCUUUUCCUUCUCUUCCAUCUGGACACUGAUAACACAAAUAUUAAUUCCUUAUCAAAGUCUCACAGAUCCCUGAGGCUCUGUUUAUUCUUUUAAAGUCUAUUUUCUUUGUUUUUCAUAUUGGGUAACUCUAUUGUUCUUCUACUUCUUAGAUUCUUCCUCUGUUCCCUUUACUUUGCUUUUGAGCACAUCCAUUGAAUUUUUAUUUCAAUUAUUGUGUUUUCCAGUUUUAAAAUAUUCAUUUGUAGAAAUUUUAUUUUUCAAAUUUGUUUUAAACAUAUUUGUAAAUUGUCUACUGAAGGGAUUGUAUGAUGACUACUUUAAAAUCUUUGUCAGAUAAUUCUAACACCUCUGCCAUUUUGGUAUUGGCAUCUAUUGAUUGCCUUUUUUUUCAGUUAGUUUGAAAUCCUAAUUCCUGAAUGAUAAAUACUUUCAUACUGAAACCUGAACAUUUAGGCAUUAUAUAAUGAGAUUCUGGAUCUUACUUAAACAAGUUUUGGAUGGCUUCCUUUGACAUUUCUUUAACAAGGAAAGAAGGGGACACAAUCUCCCAACUUCCAGGUGACGGCAAAUACAGUACAGGUUCCCAUUGUGACUUCCUUUGAGAUUCAAGGAAAUGGGCCAACAUUUCUGGAGAGUAGGGGUGGGAGUUCAUGCCCCCCCCCCCUCCGCCUCCCCAGGCCUUCACUGAUCUCUCUUUGGAUGGAAGAAGUAGGAGCACCUUAUUUGUGUUCCCCACUUGGCCACUUGGGCUUCAUAACCUCACCCGACUAGUCCCACAGGGAUGGUAAUGUGGCCUCAUUAACACUAAACAAAGGUGAAAUUUUUUACUUUAAUCCUCCUCUUAUGUUACCCCACUGGGGAAGGGAGAAUAUACCUUGUUAUUGCUAAAUUAUGGUGGCAUUCCAGCUUCCUCAUGUAGUCUUUACACCAAAGGGUUAGAGGGCUCAUUACCAACUGGCAGGGAUGAUCCCUGGCUCUCCAGCUGGUCUUGUCUGACACCACAACUAGCAGGUGGAUUGGGAGAUCUUAUUUUAUUAUGACAAAGGUGAAAAUCUAGGAUGCUCACUCAGCCUUUGCUGGCAUGACUAGAGGUGAGGUCUUGUUUCCUUCCAUGGAGUUUGGUUGGAAUAUAGUGAUUACUGUCUAAACAUUUUCUGUCUUGUUAGGCUACCCUUUUCCUGAUAUUUGGCCAGAGAUAAUAGCCUUUUGUUGGGCUCUGUUUGGCUUGUGUUUGUUGGUAUUUCCAGGGACGACCUUCUUAAGCUCCAACUUUGAUUAUAUUAGGCAAAGACAAAAUCCAGUGAACUCAUCACUUAUUGUGUCAUUAUUUGGGUUCCAAUGUCACUAGCUAGUUUGAUUUCAUCUUUCCACCUUUUUUUAGCCUUUCUAUGUUUCUUUUAAUGUCUGAAGCUUUUAAUAGUACUCAGCGGAAAGGAGAAGAACAUUAUGCCUAUUCUGUCAUUCCAAAACUAGUUACCACUUGAUUUUUCUGGAGCUCUGAAUAUGUAAUAUGUUUCUUUUUCUGAGAAAAUUUAAUUCAUUAUUUCAAAAGGACAUGAUUGACUUCCUUUAGGUAUACCUACAUAAUACCCGUGGUAUUUUGAGUAUUCAAAACACUACAGGUUUGUAAUUAUAUACCAUACAUCUAUGGACAGUGCUUAAAGGUACUCACAGAAUUUCUCCAGGCAUCUCUCCUCCAGUAUAGGAAGAACAGCCCAGUUGUAUCUGUUUUCUAUUAUGGCUUCAAUGUAGUAUUUUAUUUGAAAAAAAAUUAUUCUGAUUUUUUUAAAAGUUUGAAAAUAUUUAAGUUCCAAAUGUUCUCAAUUGUAGUUUUAUAAAGUAUUAAACUCUACUGGAUAUGACUUGACUGAGUAUUUUCUCAGCUCCCCUCAGAAUGGGACACAGCUAGUAACAUUAUAAAUACAUAGAAGUUCAUUUAUUGCAUACAAUGAAUACUUUAGUUACUGGGGAUUAAUUCUUACUGCAAAUGUAAAAUAUUGUCCAGAGUUUUUCCAGGGUAUAAUACAGAGAACUAAAAGCUUAAAACAGUAGUCAGUGCUAUUUCAAGUAUGAAAAGAUAAUUAUGUCAACCAACUUGAAAGAAAUAAAUUUAAUUUUGUUCUAAGAGAGGAAACAAGCAGCUUUUGAGCAUCUAAUCAAAUUAUGCUCUACUAAUUACAAAGGCUAACUGACUGUAUUAACUGUGCCAAAUAUUUACUUACAGCUUAAAUAUGAAGAAUGAAUAUAUUCUCAAGUUGGUGAAUGUCAUCCUAAAUUCAUGAAAAUAUUAUUGACCAAUGCAUGUAGAAUGGAUUAAAAAGAUAAGAAUUUAUCUAACACAACCUCAAAAUUUCAAUAAUCAAAUACAUAGAGUAUUCACUCUUCUCCCUGUUCACAGAUGAAAAAGAUACAACUUUUCAUCCUUCAUCUAGAUUAUAAUUCAUCCAAAUGAGUUACUAUAACUAUGCCACUCAAGUUCAUCCUCACUGGAGGCAGGGUGGAGUUUUCUACAUACUGCAGUAUAAGAUUUGGUUACACAUCUACUGUAACUUAGAGGACAGCAAAUGCACCCCCUUCAAAUCCUCCUGGGAAGUCUAAUGACACAAUAAAGGUAACUAGAAAGGCCUAUGGAUUAUCAUGAAACGAGUCACUCAGAAUAGACUUAUGCGGCCUGAAACCAUGGCUUUUCCUCAGCUCUUAUCAUCAAGAAACAUAUGGAUGAACAUAGAGAUGGAAAGAAGCAAACAUAUUAAGUGCAGUAAAAAUGUCUGCUUCAAUGAGCUUGUCAACAUUGCCUGAAUGAUGAAACACAGAUACAGAUAUUUACCCAGAGGGCUCCCUAGCACCAUUAAAUGUUCUGUGGACUAGCCAGGCUCUGAGUUUCAUAUUGACAGCAACAUUUUAGCCACAUUUUCUACAAAUCAACAGUGGUGCCGAUUUGCUGCUGGUUAAGGAGUAGAAAAAUGGAAUAGUUCAUAGUAGCAGAAUAUGUUGACAUAAUAAAAAAUGUUUAAUGUAAUUGUCUAAAGAAUUACUUUUGUUUCAGCAAUGGUGUUUUUAAUCUUCAAGAACCAGAAAACACAAAGGCUACAGAAAGUCAUAAAAAAUAUCAAAUAUCAUAGUUUUUAUUGUAACCAGAUUGAUGUAGAAUGAUAUUAGGAUUCCCUUCUUUGGAAUAAAACAUAAGGAUGUUUUUGUGUAAAAUCGGGAUUAUCAAAGACCAGUUAACACUAAAUGUUCUUCCUUAUGUCUUAUAAUCAUCUCAAACACAUGUUGUCACGUAGUCGUUGAAAAUAAAACCUGAUUCUUUGAGAAUCAUGAUAAAAGAAGAAAAGGGAUAUGGUGACUGUGUAGCUACUACAGCACCAUUGGGAACAGAAACAAAAUGAUGAUUUCUUCACAAUAUGUUAAUGAAUGGAUAUGGGAGGAGUUCCCGUCGUGGCGCAGUGGAAACAAAUCCGACUAGGAACUACGAGGUUGCAGGUUCUAUCCUUCGCUUCGGUCAGUGAGUUAAGGAUCUGGCGUGAACUGUGGUGUAGGUCACAGACACAGCUCGGAUCUGGUGUUGCUGUGGCUGUGGCGUAGGCUAGUAGCUGUAGCUCUGAUUGGACCCCUCCAUAUGCUGCAGAUGCGGCCCUAAAAAUCAAACAACAAGGACAACAAUGGGUAUGGGAUAGGUAGGUUAUAAUCCAAAGCGUGAUACUUCUCUUUCCUUGGGCCCUGUUCGUGUUUGGUCUAAAUUAAGUACCUUCACCGUUAUGUUGAAUGAAGUGGGCAAAUGUAAAGGUUUCUGUUGUGAUGAAGCUGGGAAUUAGAAGCAGUUCGUCUUCCCCUGUUUACUGAAGCCCAAAACUACACCAGUACGCAUUUGCUCAGAUCCAAGCCUACCCCCACUUCCCAGUUUCUAUAAGGAGAUAUAGUCUUUAAAUCCAUAAUUUUGAGCUGGCAGAGAGUUCUGAACAUUUUAAUAUAAUUUAUAUCAUUUAGUUCUGUUGUAUUUUAAUCUGUUAACUAAAUAUUUAAAAUAUUGAAUAUUUAUGAUUUGAAUUUUAUGAUUUCAGAGUAUAGAAAAUUAUAAACAUUUAUGUUCCUCUCAGAGACCUUGGUCUUCACUAUUCCCUCUUAGACUCAAGUAGAAGUGAAAAAAAAGUAAAAACAGAUUUAGUUUUUCUUAUACUGAUGAAAUACUUCGAUUCUUUGAGAGUUACCUCUUUGAGAGAGCUAUCUAUUUGUAUCAUGACAAGGUUAUAGUUGUUUAUAAUUCUACUUGGAAUUUAAGUAAUAGUUGUUAGGAAACCUAUGAAAUAUAUAAAGCAGUAAGUGUCACAACAAGCACAGUCAAUGAUAUAAAGUCAAUUUUAAUAUCUAUAUGAUGAGCUGGGAGACUGGAAGGAAGAUUCUUAAUUUUUUUAUAUUACUAAUUAUCAUUCUGUUGUUU
RNAcentral lists this long non-coding RNA (5192 nucleotides) under Sus scrofa (pig). Its description in RNAcentral is "lncRNA (ENSSSCG00000055135.1)". Lineage: Eukaryota; Metazoa; Chordata; Mammalia; Artiodactyla; Suidae. The record is from RNAcentral.